This 253-nucleotide ribosomal RNA is filed under the name uncultured bacterium. Its description in RNAcentral is "partial 16S ribosomal RNA". It matches the Rfam family "Bacterial small subunit ribosomal RNA", at positions 524 to 776 of the family's 1533-position model. The record is from RNAcentral.
UACGUAGGGGGCAAGCGUUGUCCGGAUUUACUGGGCGUAAAGAGCGUGUAGGCGGCCAAACAGGUCCGUUGUGAAAACUGGAGGCUCAACCUCCAGACGUCGACGGAAACCGUAUGGCUAGAGUCCGGAAGAGGAGAGUGGAAUUCCUGGUGUAGCGGUGAAAUGCGCAGAUAUCAGGAAGAACACCCGUGGCGAAAGCGGCUCUCUGGAACGGUACUGACGCUGAGACGCGAAAGCGUGGGGAGCGAACAGG